Molecule: ribosomal RNA, 274 nt
Filed under: Pediococcus damnosus
Lineage: Bacteria; Bacillati; Bacillota; Bacilli; Lactobacillales; Lactobacillaceae
Description: partial 23S ribosomal RNA
Rfam family: Bacterial large subunit ribosomal RNA
Source: RNAcentral
UGUACUAGUUAAACUUGUUUGAACAAUGGAGGGACGCAGGAGGCUAAGAAAAGCACACAGUUGGAUAAGUGUGCCCAAGCAACAAGUCUUAGAUAGAGUUAAAUGCUUUAUCUUUUCAGGACAAGUUGUGAUGGGGAGCGAAAUUUAAGUAGCGAAGUUUCUGAUGUCACACUGCCGAGAAAAGCUUCUAGUUAGAGUUUAACUACCCGUACCGCAAACCGACACAGGUAGUCGAGGAGAGUAUCCUCAGGUGAGCGAGAGAACUCUCGUUAAG